RNAcentral lists this ribosomal RNA (468 nucleotides) under uncultured bacterium. Its description in RNAcentral is "partial 16S ribosomal RNA". It matches the Rfam family "Bacterial small subunit ribosomal RNA", at positions 28 to 507 of the family's 1533-position model. The record is from RNAcentral.
GAUGAACGCUGGCGGCGUGCUUAACACAUGCAAGUCGAACGGAAAGGCUCCUGCUUGCCGGGGUACUCGAGUGGCGAACGGGUGAGUAACACGUGGGUGAUCUGCCCUGCACUUCGGUAUAAGCCUGGGAAACUGGGUCUAAUACCGGAUAGGACGAUGGUUUGGAUGCCAUUGUGGAAAGUUUUUCGGUGUGGGAUGAGCUCGCGGCCUAUCAGCGUGUUGGUGGGGUAAUGGCCUACCAAGGCGUCGACGGGUAGCCGGCCUGAGAGGGUGGACGGCCACAUUGGGGGUGAGGAAAGGCGCACAGGCCUCAGGGGGGCGGCAGUGGGGGAGAUUGCACCAGAGGGGCAAGCCGGAUGAAGCGACGCCGCGGGGGGGGGGACGGCGGUCGGGUUGUAAAAUCCUUUCAGCCAUGGGGAAGCACUGGUGGUGACGGUAGUGGGAGAAGAAGCACCGGCUAACUACGUG